RNAcentral lists this long non-coding RNA (865 nucleotides) under Marmota monax (woodchuck). Lineage: Eukaryota; Metazoa; Chordata; Mammalia; Rodentia; Sciuridae. The record is from RNAcentral.
CUGAGUACAGAUUAAUAAUUCUAAGGGUUUUCAGUAGUUUUUUGUUCUAGAAAGUAGUUCAUUUGCAUUCACAUACAGGCAGUAUAUCCUUAGACUAUGUGUUUUUGUUGUUUUGUUUUUUGGUACUAGGGAUUGAUCCCAGGAGUGCUUUAUUACUGAGAUACAUUCUCUUUGAGGCAGUGUCUGACUAAGUUGCUGAGGCUGGCCUCAAGCUUGCAAUUCUCUUUCCUCAACCUUCCAAGGCCCUGAAGUACAGGCAUGCACCAUUGCAUCUGGACUCUUGGUUGGUGUUUUGUUGUUGUUGUUGUUGUUUUGUUUUUAUUGUUUUUUUUAAUACCAGAGAUUGAACCAAGGGCAUUUAGCCAUAUUCCCAGCCCAGGUCUAGGUGAGUUGCGUAGGGCCUCACUAAAUUGCUGAGGCUGGGUUUCAACUCACGAUUCUCCUGCCUCAGCCUCCCAAGUCACUGGGAUUACAGGCGUGUGCCAUUGCACCCUUCCCACCCCCCAAAUUAUAUCAAAGGUUUGUUUCUGCUUGGUUUGGGGAUAUCCCCCAAAAGCUUAUGUGUUGAGGACUUGGUCCCUAGCACAGCAGUAUCCAGAGGUGUGGCAUUGGGAAAUGAUUGGAGAAUGAAGGAUCUAACCUCAUCAAUGGAUUAAUCCAUUUGACAGAUUAAAAAUCUGAAUGCACUGCUGGGAAAAGAUGGAAACUAGGCAGCUAGGGCAUGGUUGAAGAGGUAGGACAAUAUUGGCAUGCCCUUGAGGCCCCUUCUGUCAAUCUUCCCCAUGAACUGACAGCUUUCCUCCACUGCACCUUUUCACCAUGAUGUUUCUUUUUGAAGCUAACUGACCAUGGACUUAAACCUCUG